RNAcentral lists this unclassified non-coding RNA (150 nucleotides) under uncultured Basidiomycota. RNAcentral's name for it is "sequence contains ITS1". The record is from RNAcentral. Lineage: Eukaryota; Fungi; Basidiomycota.
GCGAGUAUGGCCCUCACGGGUCUAUCCACUAUAAACACUUUUGUGAACCAUUCAGGACGGUCGAUCUGUGAAAGCGUUUGCGAUUAGCGGUGAGGCUGUCCCUUGAAAACACGUUUUAAAGUCUUGAAAGUCUAGUUGAAUAAUCAAUUA